RNAcentral lists this ribosomal RNA (399 nucleotides) under uncultured bacterium. RNAcentral's name for it is "bacterial SSU rRNA". It matches the Rfam family "Bacterial small subunit ribosomal RNA", at positions 358 to 774 of the family's 1533-position model. The record is from RNAcentral.
GGAAUAUUGGGCAAUGGGCGCAAGCCUGACCCAGCGACGCCGCGUGAGUGAAGAAGUAUUUCGGUAUGUAAAGCUCUAUCAGCAGGGAAGAUAAUGACGGUACCUGACUAAGAAGCCCCGGCUAACUACGUGCCAGCAGCCGCGGUAAUACGUAGGGGGCAAGCGUUAUCCGGAUUUACUGGGUGUAAAGGGAGCGUAGGCGGCGUUGCAAGUCAGAUGUGAAACCCCGAGGCUUAACUUCGGGACUGCAUUUGAAACUGUGAUGCUAGAGUGCGGGAGAGGUAAGCGGAAUUCCUAGUGUAGCGGUGAAAUGCGUAGAUAUUAGGAAGAACACCGGUGGCGAAGGCGGCUUACUGGACCGUAACUGACGCUGAGGCUCGAAAGCGUGGGGAGCAAACA